GAUGAACGCUGGCGGUGUGCCUAAUACAUGCAAGUCGAGCGAACGGACGAGAAGCUUGCUUCUCUGAUGUUAGCGGCGGACGGGUGAGUAACACGUGGAUAACCUACCUAUAAGACUGGGAUAACUUCGGGAAACCGGAGCUAAUACAGGAUAAUAUUUUGAACAGCAUGGUUCAAAAGUGAAAGACGGUCUUGCUGUCACUUAUAGAUGGAACCGCGCUGCAUUAGCUAGGUGGUAAGGUAACGGCUUACCAAGGCAACGAUGCAAAGCCGACCUGAGAGGGAGAACGGCCACACUGGAACUGAGACACGGUCCAGACUCCUACGGGAGGCAGCAGUAGGGAAUCUUCCGCAAUGGGCGAAAGCCUGACGGAGCAACGCCGCGUGAGUGAUGAAGGUCUUCGGAUCGUAAAACUCUGUUAUUGGGGAAGAACAUAUGUGUAAGUAACUGUGCACAUCUUGACGGUACCUAAUCAGAAAGCCACGGCUAACUACGUG
RNAcentral lists this ribosomal RNA (497 nucleotides) under uncultured bacterium. RNAcentral describes it as "partial 16S ribosomal RNA". It matches the Rfam family "Bacterial small subunit ribosomal RNA", at positions 28 to 507 of the family's 1533-position model. The record is from RNAcentral.